RNAcentral lists this ribosomal RNA (510 nucleotides) under Salmonella enterica subsp. enterica serovar Oranienburg. RNAcentral's name for it is "bacterial LSU rRNA". It matches the Rfam family "Bacterial large subunit ribosomal RNA", at positions 418 to 829 of the family's 2925-position model. The record is from RNAcentral. Lineage: Bacteria; Pseudomonadati; Pseudomonadota; Gammaproteobacteria; Enterobacterales; Enterobacteriaceae.
CGGGACACGUGGUAUCCUGUCUGAAUAUGGGGGGACCAUCCUCCAAGGCUAAAUACUCCUGACUGACCGAUAGUGAACCAGUACCGUGAGGGAAAGGCGAAAAGAACCCCGGCGAGGGGAGUGAAAAAGAACCUGAAACCGUGUACGUACAAGCAGUGGGAGCCCCACCACUAAGCCAGUGGUGAACUCCACAUACGCAUCCUUUGCUGAGGAUACGGUUAACGGAGCGAAAGCGACGUUCAACCGCAAAAGAAGCAGAGGGGGCUUAGUGGUGGGGUGACUGCGUACCUUUUGUAUAAUGGGUCAGCGACUUAUAUUCUGUAGCAAGGUUAACCGUAUAGGGGAGCCGGAGGGAAACCGAGUCUUAAUUGGGCGUUAAGUUGCAGGGUAUAGACCCGAAACCCGGUGAUCUAGCCAUGGGCAGGUUGAAGGUUGGGUAACACUAACUGGAGGACCGAACCGACUAAUGUUGAAAAAUUAGCGGAUGACCUGUGGCUGGGGGUGAAAGGC